UAAUAGAGCGUCGCAAUGACUCUCGGCAACGGAUAUCUCGGCUCUCGCAUCGAUGAAGAACGUAGCGAAAUGCGAUACUUGGUGUGAAUUGCAGAAUCCCGCGAACCAUCGAGUCUUUGAACGCAAGUUGCGCCCGAAGCCUUUCGGCCGAGGGCACGUCUGCCUGGGCGUCACGC
Molecule: ribosomal RNA, 176 nt
Filed under: Boehmeria clidemioides
Lineage: Eukaryota; Viridiplantae; Streptophyta; Magnoliopsida; Rosales; Urticaceae
Description: 5.8S ribosomal RNA
Rfam family: 5.8S ribosomal RNA (bases 18-173)
About the family: 5.8S ribosomal RNA (5.8S rRNA) is a component of the large subunit of the eukaryotic ribosome. It is transcribed by RNA polymerase I as part of the 45S precursor that also contains 18S and 28S rRNA. Functionally, it is thought that 5.8S rRNA may be involved in ribosome translocation.
Source: RNAcentral